RNAcentral lists this long non-coding RNA (214 nucleotides) under Lathyrus oleraceus (garden pea). RNAcentral describes it as "Pisum sativum (pea) long non-coding RNA (PSAT_LNC024767)". The record is from RNAcentral. Lineage: Eukaryota; Viridiplantae; Streptophyta; Magnoliopsida; Fabales; Fabaceae.
ACAAUUCAAAAACAACAAUCUCAAUCUCAACAAAACUACAACGACAUCAACAAUAAAUCUAUUAUGCAUUUAUCUUAACUAAAAAAACAACAUAUAACAUUCAAUCUCAGUCUAAACAAUAAUAACAACAAUGCCAACUUUAAACAACAACUCAAAAACAACAAUCUCCAUCUCAACAAAACUACAACAACAUCAAUAAUAAGUAUUACAUACU